UGCACAGCCUCUUCCCUGGUU
This 21-nucleotide microRNA is filed under the name Solanum tuberosum (potato). Its description in RNAcentral is "stu-miR408a-3p". Its record names the gene stu-miR408a-3p. The record is from miRBase by way of RNAcentral. Lineage: Eukaryota; Viridiplantae; Streptophyta; Magnoliopsida; Solanales; Solanaceae.